This 447-nucleotide ribosomal RNA is filed under the name uncultured bacterium. RNAcentral's name for it is "bacterial SSU rRNA". It matches the Rfam family "Bacterial small subunit ribosomal RNA", at positions 15 to 507 of the family's 1533-position model. The record is from RNAcentral.
GAUCCUGGCUCAGAACGAACGCUGGCGGCAUGCCUAACACAUGCAAGUCGAACGAGACCUUCGGGUCUAGUGGCGCACGGGUGCGUAACGCGUGGGAAUCUGCCCUGGGGUGCGGAAUAACUCGGAGAAAUCCGUGCUAAUACCGCAUAAUGUCUUCGGACCAAAGAUUUAUCGCCCUGGGAUGAGCCCGCGUAGGAUUAACUAGUUGGUGGGGUAAAAGGCCUACCAAGGCGACGAUCCUUAGCUGGUCUGAGAGGAUGAUCAGCCACACUGGGACUGAGACACGGCCCAGACUCCUACGGGAGGCAGCAGUGGGGAAUAUUGGACAAUGGGCGAAAGCCUGAUCCAGCAAUGCCGCGUGAGUGAUGAAGGCCCUAGGGUUGUAAAGCUCUUUUACCCGGGAUGAUAAUGACAGUACCGGGAGAAUAAGCUCCGGCUAACUCCGUG